RNAcentral lists this ribosomal RNA (267 nucleotides) under uncultured bacterium. RNAcentral's name for it is "partial 16S ribosomal RNA". It matches the Rfam family "Bacterial small subunit ribosomal RNA", at positions 86 to 354 of the family's 1533-position model. The record is from RNAcentral.
UGCCGGCGACCGGCGGACGGGUGCGUAACGCGUAUGUAACCUACCUUUGACAGGGGGAUAACAUCGAGAAAUUGGUACUAAUACCCCAUAACAUCACCGGAGGCAUCUUCGGUGGUUGAAAACUCAGGUGGUCAGAGAUGGACAUGCGUUGUAUUAGCUAGUUGGCGGUGUAACGGACCACCAAGACGACGAUGCGUAGGGGUUCUGAGAGGAAGGUCCCCCACACUGGUACUGAGACACGGACCAGACUCCUACGGAAGGCAGCAG